UGGAAGCGUCUGGAAAGGCGCGCGAUACAGGGUGACAGCCCCGUACACAAAAAUGCACAUGCUGUGAGCUCGAUGAGUAGGGCGGGACACGUGGUAUCCUGUCUGAAUAUGGGGGGACCAUCCUCCAAGGCUAAAUACUCCUGACUGACCGAUAGUGAACCAGUACCGUGAGGGAAAGGCGAAAAGAACCCCGGCGAGGGGAGUGAAAAAGAACCUGAAACCGUGUACGUACAAGCAGUGGGAGCACGCUUAGGCGUGUGACUGCGUACCUUUUGUAUAAUGGGUCAGCGACUUAUAUUCUGUAGCAAGGUUAACCGAAUAGGGGAGCCGAAGGGAAACCGAGUCUUAACUGGGCGUUAAGUUGCAGGGUAUAGACCCGAAACCCGGUGAUCUAGCCAUGGGCAGGUUGAAGGUUGGGUAACACUAACUGGAGGACCGAACCGACUAAUGUUGAAAAAUUAGCGGAUGACUUGUGGCUGGGGGUGAAAGGCCAAUCAAACCGGGAGAUAGCUGGUUCUCCCCGAAAGCUAUUUAGGUAGCGCCUCGUGAA
RNAcentral lists this ribosomal RNA (550 nucleotides) under Escherichia coli. Its description in RNAcentral is "partial 23S ribosomal RNA". It matches the Rfam family "Bacterial large subunit ribosomal RNA", at positions 333 to 888 of the family's 2925-position model. Lineage: Bacteria; Pseudomonadati; Pseudomonadota; Gammaproteobacteria; Enterobacterales; Enterobacteriaceae. The record is from RNAcentral.